Molecule: ribosomal RNA, 1234 nt
Filed under: metagenome
Description: bacterial LSU rRNA
Rfam family: Bacterial large subunit ribosomal RNA
Source: RNAcentral
UGAGUACGAGAUGCUACGGCAUUGAAGCAGUCUAUGUCAUACUUCCAAGAAAAGCUUGCACUGUCAUAAACAAAGAAUGCCUGUACCAUAACCGACACAGGUGGGUAGGUAGAGUAUACUAAGGGGCGCGAGAUAACUCUCUCUAAGGAACUCGGCAAAAUGACUCCGUAACUUCGGGAGAAGGAGUGCCUUAUUUUUAAGGUUGCAAUAACAAGAUCCAAGCAACUGUUUAUCAAAAACACAGGUCUCCGCUAAGUCGUAAGACGAUGUAUGGGGGCUGACGCCUGCCCAGUGCCAGAAGGUUAAAGAAGUUGGUUAGCAUUCGCGAAGCUGAUAACUGAAGCCCUGGUGAACGGCGGCCGUAACAAUAACGGUCCUAAGGUAGCGAAAUUCCUUGUCGGGUAAGUUCCGACCCGCACGAAAGGCGUAAUGAUUUGGAUACUGUCUCGGAGAGGGACUCGGUGAAAUAGACUUGUCUGUGAAGAUGCGGACUACCUGCACCUGGACAGAAAGACCCUAUGAAGCUUUACUGUAACUUGAAAUUGAAAUUGGACUUUAGUUGCGCAGGAUAGGUGGGAGGCGUUGAGAAUAUUCUUGCGGGAGUAUUGGAGCCAUCAGUGAGAUACCACUCUUCUAAUGUUAGAUUUCUAACUUUGUAUCAUUAUCUGGUCAAAGAACAGUUUCAGGCGGGCAGUUUGACUGGGGCGGUCGCCUCCUAAAGGGUAACGGAGGCGCACAAAGGUUUCCUCUGAACGAGUAGAAAUCGUAUCUAGAGUGUAAAGGCAUAAGGAAGCUUGACUGUGAGACCUACAAGUCGAGCAGGGACGAAAGUCGGUCUUAGUGAUCUGACGGUGCUGAGUGGAAAGGCCGUCACUCAACGGAUAAAAGUUACUCUAGGAUAACAGGCUGAUCUCCCCCAAGAGUUCACAUCGACGGGGAGGUUUGGCACCUCGAUGUCGGCUCAUCGCAUCCUGGGGCGGUAGUACGUCCCAAGGGUUGGGCUGUUCGCCCAUGAAAGCGGUACGCGAGCUGGGUUCAGAACGUCGUGAGACAGUUCGGUCCAUAUCUGGUGUAGGCGUUAGAAUAUUGAGAGGAGCCUUCUCUAGUACGAGAGGACCGAGAAGGACAUACCUCUAGUGUACCAGUUAUCGUGCCAACGGUAAACGCUGGGUAGCUAUGUAUGGAGUGGAUAACCGCUGAAAGCAUCUAAGUGGGAAGCCCACCUCAAGAUAAG